Molecule: small nuclear RNA, 21 nt
Filed under: Arabidopsis thaliana (thale cress)
Lineage: Eukaryota; Viridiplantae; Streptophyta; Magnoliopsida; Brassicales; Brassicaceae
Description: snRNA_06198
Source: RNAcentral
AUCAUCUCUCUUCCAUAUUCU